This 1299-nucleotide long non-coding RNA is filed under the name Callithrix jacchus (white-tufted-ear marmoset). Its description in RNAcentral is "lncRNA (ENSCJAG00000076878.1)". The record is from RNAcentral. Lineage: Eukaryota; Metazoa; Chordata; Mammalia; Primates; Cebidae.
AUGUCAGGAGGCCCCGCCAUCCAGGAGGCCCCCCUCCCUCCACAACUGUCAGAGCUAUGUGGUGCCCCACAGCUCCGGCCUCCCACUCCUGUUCCCUCUCAUCCUUUACGGGGGUUUCUGAAAAAAUGCUCUUGCAUGUGGAAUCUUGCUUUGGCAUCCGGUGUGAGCCACGGCAUCCAGGACACUCAAAGCCCCUCCACACGGCAGCCCCCAUCUGCCCUGCAGACUCCCCUGGCCUUAGCCCUGCACCUGUUUCUCGUUUUACACACAUACAUAAUACACACACAGUACACACACAGACGUGCUCACAUGCAAGUACAUGCACACAUGUACAUACCCACACAUAUGCACACACACGCGCCCACACAUCAUGUGCAUACACAUGCACACAUAUACCCACAUACCUACGCAUGCACACGUGAGGGGGCCAGACACGUGUACACACAUGCACAUGCACACACAUACAUACCCACACAUCCACACAUGCAUGCACACACAAGCACAUACACACACGUACACACCCACACAUCCACACAUGUACAUGCAUACCCGCACAUACACAUGCACACUCACACACAAGCACCCGCACAUACAUACCCACGCAUCCACACAUGUGCGUGCACACACACACAAAGUGCGUGCACACACAUACCCACACACACAGCCAUACACCCUCACACACAACCACAUGCACACACGUACACACAUACCCACACAUCCACACACAUGCACACACACACAAGCACAUGUAUACAGACCCACACAUCCACACGUGCACACACACAAGUACAUGCACAUCCACACACACACGAGGACGUUCACACAUGUACACACAUACCCAGUCUACACACAAGCAUUUGCACACAUGUACACACAUCCACACAUGCACACUCAUAUGCUUAUGGACACGUACACACACUGCCCCACAUCCACACACAUGCACACUCACACACAAGCACAUGCACACACAUACACAUACCCACACAUGUACACACACACAAGCUAAUGCACACAUGUACACAUCCACACAUGUACAUACACAAGCACAUGCACACACACGUGUACAUAGCCACACAUCCACAAGCACACACACACAAGCACAUGCACAUAUGUACACACAUUACCCCACACACACUCACAAACAAGCACAGGCACACAUGCACACACACUGCCACAAAUGCACCCUCACACACACAAUGCAUUCACACAGUACACACACAGACAUCCACUCACACAAGCAUAUGCACAAAUGUACAUAUACUCACACAUGUACACACACAGGCACACACAUCACAAUGA